This 1444-nucleotide ribosomal RNA is filed under the name Jonesiaceae bacterium SH031. Its description in RNAcentral is "bacterial SSU rRNA". It matches the Rfam family "Bacterial small subunit ribosomal RNA". Lineage: Bacteria; Bacillati; Actinomycetota; Actinomycetes; Micrococcales; Jonesiaceae. The record is from RNAcentral.
AGAGUUUGAUCCUGGCUCAGGACGAACGCUNGCGGCGUGCUUAACACAUGCAAGUCGAACGAUGAUGACCAAAGCUUGCUUUGGUUGGAUUAGUGGCGAACGGGUGAGUAACACGUGAGUAACCUGCCCCCUUCUUCGGGAUAACCAUUGGAAACGGUGGCUAAUACCGGGUAUGACAUCGGAUCGCAUGGUUUGGUGUGGAAAGGUUUUUUCUGGUGGGGGAUGGGCUCGCGGCCUAUCAGCUUGUUGGUGGGGUGAUGGCCUACCAAGGCUUUGACGGGUAGCCGGCCUGAGAGGGCGACCGGCCACACUGGGACUGAGACACGGCCCAGACUCCUACGGGAGGCAGCAGUGGGGAAUAUUGCACAAUGGGGGAAACCCUGAUGCAGCGACGCCGCGUGGGGGAUGAAGGCCUUCGGGUCGUAAACCCCUUUCAGUAAGGAACAAGGCCAUGAUUGUUGUUGUGGUUGAGGGUACUUGCAGAAGAAGCGCCGGCUAACUACGUGCCAGCAGCCGCGGUAAUACGUAGGGCGCAAGCUUGUCCGGAAUUAUUGGGCGUAAAGAGCUCGUAGGCGGUUUGUCGCGUCUGUCGUGAAAUCCCGAUGCUUAACGUCGGGCUUGCGGUGGGUACAGGCAGGCUUGAGUGCGGUAAGGGUGACUGGAAUUCCUGGUGUAGCGUGAAUGCGCAGAUAUCAGGAGGACACCGAUGCGAAGCAGUCACUGGCCGUUACUGACGCUAGACGAAACAUGGGAGCGACAGGAUUAGAUACCCUGGUAGUCCAUGCCCGUAAACGUUUGGGCACUAGGUGUGGGAUUGUUCCACGAUUCCUGUACCGUACUAACGCAUUAAGUGCCCGCCUGGGGAGUACGGCGCAAGGCUAAAACUCAAAGGAAUUGACGGGGGCCGCACAAGCGGCGGAGCAUGCGGAUUAAUUCGAUGCAACGCGAAGAACCUUACCAAGGCUUGACAUACGCUAGAUCGCUCCAGAGAUGGGGUUUUCCUUUGGACUGGUGUACAGGUGGUGCAUGGUUGUCGUCAGCUCGUGUCGUGAGAUGUUGGGUUAAGUCCCGCAACGAGCGCAACCCUUGUUCUAUGUUGCCAGCACGUAAUGGUGGGGACUCAUGGGAGACUGCCGGGGUCAACUCGGAGGAAGGUGGGGACGACGUCAAAUCAUCAUGCCCCUUAUGUCUUGGGCUUCACGCAUGCUACAAUGGCCGGUACAAUGGGUUGCGAUACUGUGAGGUGGAGCGAAUCCCUAAAAGCCGGUCUCAGUUCGGAUUGGGGUCUGCAACUCGACCCCAUGAAGUCGGAGUCGCUAGUAAUCGCAGAUCAGCAACGCUGCGGUGAAUACGUUCCCGGGCCUUGUACACACCGCCCGUCAAGUCACGAAAGUUGGUAACACCCGAACCGGCGGCCUAACCCCUUUUUUGGGAGGAGUUGUCG